RNAcentral lists this ribosomal RNA (386 nucleotides) under Salmonella enterica. Its description in RNAcentral is "bacterial SSU rRNA". It matches the Rfam family "Bacterial small subunit ribosomal RNA", at positions 1 to 383 of the family's 1533-position model. The record is from RNAcentral. Lineage: Bacteria; Pseudomonadati; Pseudomonadota; Gammaproteobacteria; Enterobacterales; Enterobacteriaceae.
AAAUUGAAGAGUUUGAUCAUGGCUCAGAUUGAACGCUGGCGGCAGGCCUAACACAUGCAAGUCGAACGGUAACAGGAAGCAGCUUGCUGCUUUGCUGACGAGUGGCGGACGGGUGAGUAAUGUCUGGGAAACUGCCUGAUGGAGGGGGAUAACUACUGGAAACGGUGGCUAAUACCGCAUAACGUCGCAAGACCAAAGAGGGGGACCUUCGGGCCUCUUGCCAUCAGAUGUGCCCAGAUGGGAUUAGCUGGUUGGUGAGGUAACGGCUCACCAAGGCGACGAUCCCUAGCUGGUCUGAGAGGAUGACCAGCCACACUGGAACUGAGACACGGUCCAGACUCCUACGGGAGGCAGCAGUGGGGAAUAUUGCACAAUGGGCGCAAGCC